GAGGGUAUAGCUCAGUGGUAGAGUGUGUGCUUAGCAUGCAUGAGGUCCUGGGUUCAAUCCCCAAUGCCUCCA
Molecule: transfer RNA, 72 nt
Filed under: Camelus bactrianus (Bactrian camel)
Lineage: Eukaryota; Metazoa; Chordata; Mammalia; Artiodactyla; Camelidae
Also listed under: 1 other name
Rfam family: tRNA
About the family: Transfer RNA (tRNA) molecules are approximately 80 nucleotides in length. Their secondary structure includes four short double-helical elements and three loops (D, anti-codon, and T loops). Further hydrogen bonds mediate the characteristic L-shaped molecular structure. tRNAs have two regions of fundamental functional importance: the anti-codon, which is responsible for specific mRNA codon recognition, and the 3' end, to which the tRNAs corresponding amino acid is attached (by aminoacyl-tRNA synthetases). tRNAs cope with the degeneracy of the genetic code in two manners: having more than one tRNA (with a specific anti-codon) for a particular amino acid; and 'wobble' base-pairing, i.e. permitting non-standard base-pairing at the 3rd anti-codon position.
Source: Rfam by way of RNAcentral